Molecule: ribosomal RNA, 551 nt
Filed under: uncultured fungus
Lineage: Eukaryota; Fungi
Description: eukaryotic LSU rRNA
Rfam family: 5.8S ribosomal RNA (bases 187-340)
Source: RNAcentral
UUCCGUAGGUGAACCUGCGGAGGGAUCAUUACAAGAACGCCCGGGCUUCGGCCUGGUUAUUCAUAACCCUUUGUUGUCCGACUCUGUUGCCUCCGGGGCGACCCUGCCUUCGGGCGGGGGCUCCGGGUGGACACUUCAAACUCUUGCGUAACUUUGCAGUCUGAGUAAACUUAAUUAAUAAAUUAAAACUUUUAACAACGGAUCUCUUGGUUCUGGCAUCGAUGAAGAACGCAGCGAAAUGCGAUAAGUAAUGUGAAUUGCAGAAUUCAGUGAAUCAUCGAAUCUUUGAACGCACAUUGCGCCCCCUGGUAUUCCGGGGGGCAUGCCUGUUCGAGCGUCAUUUCACCACUCAAGCCUCGCUUGGUAUUGGGCAACGCGGUCCGCCGCGUGCCUCAAAUCGUCCGGCUGGGUCUUCUGUCCCCUAAGCGUUGUGGAAACUAUUCGCUAAAGGGUGUUCGGGAGGCUACGCCGUAAAACAACCCCAUUUCUAAGGUUGACCUCGGAUCAGGUAGGGAUACCCGCUGAACUUAAGCAUAUCAAUAAGCGGAGGA